Syngnathus acus (greater pipefish) is the source of this 410-nucleotide long non-coding RNA. RefSeq lists it as uncharacterized. NCBI's taxonomy places the organism in Eukaryota, Metazoa, Chordata, Actinopteri, Syngnathiformes, Syngnathidae. The transcript is spliced from 3 exons. The record is from RefSeq and is a predicted model, not a curated record.
GUGUCUUUGCUUUGAAAUUUGCAGAACAUCUUCUUUCAAAUGAAGAAAUAGAUUUCUCAGCAAAGACACAUGAUAUAAAUAGGUACAGGCUGCAAAUUGCCACAACGCUUCUAUUAGAGACUGGUAAGUAAUAUGCACCCAAGAGAUGUUAUUGCCACCCAAAGCAUGGUCCUGACUGUGCUAUCAAUUCUAUAUACAACUCAGUUAAGCUUUACACAGGGAAGUACUAUAGCAAUCCUUCUGGCUUUGUUUUCACAGAUGAUUUAUCUAACUUGUUUUUUUUUUUUGUGGGGAAGCUACACAUGACAGACAACAGAUGGAUUCAGUGUGACGAGUGUUGCAGGUGGUUCCAUCUUGUAUGUGUUGGGGAGCCUCCAACCGAAGGCUCUUUUUUGUGUUCAACAUGUACA